Molecule: ribosomal RNA, 390 nt
Filed under: uncultured Scuticociliatia
Lineage: Eukaryota; Ciliophora; Oligohymenophorea
Description: partial small subunit ribosomal RNA
Rfam family: Eukaryotic small subunit ribosomal RNA
Source: RNAcentral
GCUUGUCUCAAAGAUUAAGCCAUGCAUGUCUAAGUAUAAAUAGUAUACAGUGAAACUGCGAAUGGCUCAUUAAAACACUUAUAAUUUAUUUGAUAAUUAAACAUUACAUGGAUAACCGUGGUAAUUCUAGAGCUAAUACAUGCUAUCAAGCCCGACUUCUUGAAGGGUUGUAUUUAUUAUACUUAAGCCAAUAUUCAUCGUGUCUAUUGCGAUGAUUCAUAAUAACUGAUCGAAUCUCAAAUUUGAGAUAAAUCAUUCAAGUUUCUGCCCUAUCAGCUUUCGAUGGUAGUUUUUUGGACUACCAUGGCAGUAACGGGUAACUAAGAAUUAGAGUUCUAUUUCGGAGACGGAGCAUGAGAAACGGCUACCACAUCUAAGGAAGGCAGCAGG